GCGAGUCGAGAGGGUUCGGCCCUCGGCAGACUGCUCAGUAACACGUGGAUAACCUACCCUUAGGUGGAGGAUAAUCUCGGGAAACUGAGAAUAAUACUCCAUAGAUCUAGGAUGCUGGAAUGCACCUAGAUUGAAAGCUCUGGCGCCUAAGGAUGGGUCUGCGGACUAUCAGGUUGUAGUCAGGGUAAAGACCUGACUAGCCUACGACGGAUAUGGGUUGUGAGAGCAAUAGCCCAGAGACGAUAUCUGAGACACGAUAUCGGGCCCUACGGGGCGCAGCAGGCGCGAAAUCUUCACAAUGUGCGAAAGCACGAUGAGGGGAUCCCAAGUGCUGGCACGUAAGUGUCAGCUGUUUCUUUGUCUAAAAAACAAAGAGAGUAAGAGCUGGGUAAGACGGGUGCCAGCCGCCGCGGUAAUACCUGCAGCUCAAGUGGUGGCCGCUAUUAUUGGGCCUAAAACGUCCGUAGCCGGUUUAGUAAAUGCUUGGGUAAAUUGUGUAGCUUAACUAUACGAAUACCGGGUAGACUGCUAAACUUGGGACCGGGAGAGGCUAGAGGUACUCCUAGGGUAGAGGUGAAAUUCUGUAAUCCUAGGGGGACCACCAGUGGCGAAGGCGUCUAGCUAGAACGGGUCUGACGGUGAGGGACGAAGCCCUGGGGCGCAAACCGGAUUAGAUACCCGGGUAGUCCAGGGUGUAAACGCUGCUUGCUUGAUGUUAGUUGGGCUCCGAGCCCAACUAGUGUC
This 744-nucleotide ribosomal RNA is filed under the name uncultured archaeon. Its description in RNAcentral is "bacterial SSU rRNA". It matches the Rfam family "Archaeal small subunit ribosomal RNA", at positions 53 to 802 of the family's 1478-position model. The record is from RNAcentral.